GCCGGGUGUGGUGGUGUGUGCCUACAGUCCCAGCUACUCGGGAGGCUGAGGUAAGAAGACCGCCGAGCCCGGGAAUUCUGGGCUGUAGUGCGCUAUACCAACCAGGUAUCUGCACUAAUUUUGGCAGCAACAUGGUGACCCUCUAGGAGUGGGGAACCAUCAGCUUGCUAAGGUGGGGUGAACCGACCCAAGUUGGAAAGGGAUCAGGACAAAACUUCCAUGCCAAUCAGUAGCGGGACUGUGCCUAUGAAUACCCACUGCACUGCAGCCUGGCAGCAUGAUAAGACCCCAUCUCUA
Unclassified non-coding RNA from Callithrix jacchus (white-tufted-ear marmoset), 297 nucleotides. It matches the Rfam family "Metazoan signal recognition particle RNA". Rfam says of the family: The signal recognition particle (SRP) is a universally conserved ribonucleoprotein. It is involved in the co-translational targeting of proteins to membranes. The eukaryotic SRP consists of a 300-nucleotide 7S RNA and six proteins: SRPs 72, 68, 54, 19, 14, and 9. The record is from Ensembl. Lineage: Eukaryota; Metazoa; Chordata; Mammalia; Primates; Cebidae.